This is a long non-coding RNA of Lutra lutra (Eurasian river otter), 573 nucleotides long. RefSeq lists it as uncharacterized. The transcript is spliced from 2 exons. Lineage: Eukaryota; Metazoa; Chordata; Mammalia; Carnivora; Mustelidae. The record is from RefSeq and is a predicted model, not a curated record.
UGAGAUCAUGACCUGAGCCAAAGGCAGAGACUCAACCCACUGAGCCACCCAGGCACCCCAGUAUUUGUCUUCUCAUAACUGGCUUGUUUCAGUUAACAUCAUCCUCAAGCCUCAUUCGUGCUGUGGCAGGUGCCAGGACUGCCUUCCUUUCUCAUCCUUGAAUAAUGUUUCAUUGUAUGGAUGGACCACAUUUUUGAUCUUGAACUUAUCCUUCCCAUGGACAUGGGCGUCGUUUCUCUCUUGGCUACCGUGAAUGCCGUGACGCACGUGAGUGUGCAAAUAUCCGUCUGAGUCUUUGCCUUCAAUUCUUUGGGGUGUAUGUCCAGAAGUGGAACUGCCGAAUCCUAUGAGACAUCAUUCAUGAGAGGAAGAGUCAGCUGAUGCAGCAAACUCCGUUGGCUUAUUUUGGGAAAUUUCAUGGCCCACCCACCUUCAGCUACCACCACCCUGACCAGUCGGCAGCAUCGACAUCCAGGCAAGACCCUCCACCAGCAAAAAGAUGAUGAUUUGCUGAAAGCUCAGAUAACAGUUAUCUUUUUUUUUUUUUUUUUUUUUUUAGCAAUAAAGUGUUUU